Long non-coding RNA from Salvelinus namaycush (lake trout), 644 nucleotides. RefSeq lists it as uncharacterized. Lineage: Eukaryota; Metazoa; Chordata; Actinopteri; Salmoniformes; Salmonidae. The transcript has 4 exons. The record is from RefSeq and is a predicted model, not a curated record.
CUGGAAAGAUCAGUUGCUUCAUGAACCAGUUCAGCUUUUGUUACUUUGUAAAGAAUUCUAUUUGAUCUCACAAGCUCCGGUAUUUGAGAAAUAUUGUUGACUGAAUAUGUCCACGACAUAAAUGGCGAGCUUGCCAGGAGUGGUGAAAAGGGACCAGAGACGGUGAAAAUCUACAGCUGCGCAUGGGCCUCUUGGACGAACUACACAAACGAGUGACCACUUUUAACUUCUUAUGGCUGAGAUCCCGUUAACGAGAUCGACUUGACAACAGCCAGUGGAAGUGCAGGGCGCCAAAUUCAAACAACAGAAAUCUCAUAAUUAAAAUUCCUCAAACAUACAAGAAGUUCCUGGAUUCCCCCAAGCAGCUGAUUGGUCGGCCCCAUCGAUGAUUGGAGGUCUGAUCCCUCCCUCUCGUUAUGGCAUACAGCUGUCGGCAAUUACCGACUCUUUCUCCAGCUGGAUAAAAGCCACUGUUCCUUUGUUCGGAAAGAGAGAGCCUCUUGGAGGGAAGGGGAAGGCACCGUGGGAGUGUUUAGGCAAGAGGCCUGUGGGAUUACAUAUACCCAUAGUAUGUACUCUGUCUAUGCACACUAGGACCUGAGCCCUAGGACCAUACGUCAGGACUACUGGGCAUGAUGACUCCU